UGGGGAAUUUUGGGCAAUGGGGGAAACCCUGACCCAGCAACGCCGCGUGAAGGAUGAAGUAUUUCGGUAUGUAAACUUCGAAAGAAUAGGAAGAAUAAAUGACGGUACUAUUUAUAAGGUCCGGCUAACUACGUGCCAGCAGCCGCGGUAAUACGUAGGGACCAAGCGUUGUUCGGAUUUACUGGGCGUAAAGGGCGCGUAGGCGGCAUGACAAGUCACUUGUGAAAUCUCCGAGCUUAACUCGGAACGGUCAAGUGAUACUGCUGUGCUAGAGUACAGAAGGGGCAAUCGGAAUUCUUGGUGUAGCGGUGAAAUGCGUAGAUAUCAAGAGGAACACCUGAGGUGAAGACGGGUUGCUGGGCUGAUACUGACGCUCACACACGAAAGCUAGGGUAGCGAAGAGGAUUAGAUACCCAAGUAGUCCCUGAGCGGGCUGGCAAGGCGCAU
This 447-nucleotide ribosomal RNA is filed under the name uncultured bacterium. RNAcentral's name for it is "bacterial SSU rRNA". It matches the Rfam family "Bacterial small subunit ribosomal RNA", at positions 355 to 825 of the family's 1533-position model. The record is from RNAcentral.